Molecule: long non-coding RNA, 329 nt
Filed under: Homo sapiens (human)
Lineage: Eukaryota; Metazoa; Chordata; Mammalia; Primates; Hominidae
Description: HSALNT0310093
Source: RNAcentral
UAAUCCCAGCACUUUGGGAGGCUGAGGCGGGCGGAUCACGAGGUCAGGAGAUCGAGACCAUCCUGGCUAACACGGCGAAACCCCGUCUCUACUAAAAAUACAAAAAAUUAGCCGGGCGCGGUGGCGGGCGCCUGUAGUCCCAGCUACUCGGGAGGCUGAGGCAGGAGAAUGGCGGGAACCCGGGAGGCGGAGCUUGCAGUGAGCCGAGGUCGUGCCACUGCACUCCAGCCUGGGCGACAGCGAGACUCCGAAUCAACAAAAAAAAAAAAAAAAAAAAAAAUCAGGUGAUUUUCACUGGAAAUGAAUAGACUGAUGAUAAAUCCUGGGCG